This 269-nucleotide unclassified non-coding RNA is filed under the name Hevea brasiliensis (rubber tree). Lineage: Eukaryota; Viridiplantae; Streptophyta; Magnoliopsida; Malpighiales; Euphorbiaceae. The record is from RNAcentral.
GAUGGAUUCCUCUCCUAGCAAACAGCCCAAAAUUGAAUGCAUCAUACCAAGAUAUAUGAAUGGAAAAUUUUAUACGUUUCAGAGAGUUAUGAUGGAUAUGUUAACCUUUAGAUCACAUAUCAAGCAUGAAAAAAAAGUAUAAAAUCCAGUAUUUAAAAAAGGAAUUGUUUUAUGCUAGUCAUGUUACCUUAUGAAUAUGACCUACAAUUUAUUAUAUACUGGCCACCUAAAUAACAUUUCUUCAGGUUGUAUUAGUACUAAAAAAUUUU